AAUGAACGCUGGCGGCGCGCCUAAUACAUGCAAGUCGAGCGAGAAGACGUAGCAAUACGUUUGUAAAGCGGCGAACGGGUGAGGAAUACAUGGGUAACCUACCCUCGAGUGGGGAAUAACUAGCCGAAAGGUUAGCUAAUACCGCGUACGCUCCUUGGACUUCGGUUCAGGGAGGAAAGCGAUACCGUGGGUAUCGCGCUCUUGGAUGGGCUCAUGUCCUAUCAGCUUGUUGGGAGGUAC
Molecule: ribosomal RNA, 240 nt
Filed under: uncultured bacterium
Lineage: Bacteria
Description: partial 16S ribosomal RNA
Rfam family: Bacterial small subunit ribosomal RNA
Source: RNAcentral